UACACUUCGCCCGCCACAGGUGCCUUGCACGCCGGUCCAUACCGGCGCGCAGGGUGAAACGGGAAGUCGGUGCGGACGUGAUCGUCCAAUUCCGACGCUGCCCCCGCAACGGUAGGCGAGAACACCCGACGUUGACCACUGCGCUCGCGCGGGAAGGUGUCGGGGUGAUGCUUCGGCAUCGCUCGCAAGCCCGGAGACCGGCCCGUGGCGGACAUCGGGA
RNAcentral lists this non-coding RNA (220 nucleotides) under Lysobacter gummosus. The record is from RNAcentral. Lineage: Bacteria; Pseudomonadati; Pseudomonadota; Gammaproteobacteria; Lysobacterales; Lysobacteraceae.